AUACGGGGGGUGCAAGCGUUGUUCGGAAUUAUUGGGCGUAAAGCGCGUGUAGGCGGUUUGUUAAGUCUGAUGUGAAAGCCCUGGGCUCAACCCAGGAAGUGCAUUGGAUACUGGCAGACUUGAAUACGGGAGAGGGUAGUGGAAUUCCUGGUGUAGGAGUGAAAUCCGUAGAUAUCAGGAGGAACACCGGUGGCGAAGGCGGCUACCUGGACCGAUAUUGACACUGAGGUACGAAAGCUAGGGUAGC
RNAcentral lists this ribosomal RNA (247 nucleotides) under uncultured bacterium. Its description in RNAcentral is "partial 16S ribosomal RNA". It matches the Rfam family "Bacterial small subunit ribosomal RNA", at positions 523 to 769 of the family's 1533-position model. The record is from RNAcentral.